This 253-nucleotide ribosomal RNA is filed under the name uncultured bacterium. RNAcentral describes it as "partial 16S ribosomal RNA". It matches the Rfam family "Bacterial small subunit ribosomal RNA", at positions 524 to 776 of the family's 1533-position model. The record is from RNAcentral.
UACAGAGGGGGCAAGCGUUAUUCGGAAUUAUUGGGCGUAAAGGGCGCGUAGGCGGCUUGGCAAGUGGAUGGUGAAAUCCCUCGGCUUAACCGAGGAACUGCCGUCCAAACUGCUUCGCUUGAGACCGGGAGAGGUGAGUGGAAUUCCCAGUGUAGCGGUGAAAUGCGUAGAUAUUGGGAGGAACACCAGUGGCGAAGGCGGCUCACUGGACCGGUACUGACGCUGAUGUGCGAAAGCGUGGGGAGCAAACAGG